AUACGUAGGGAGCGAGCGUUGUCCGGAAUUACUGGGUGUAAAGGGAGCGUAGGCGGGAGUGCAAGUCAGAUGUGAAAUACAUGGGCUCAACCCAUGGGCUGCAUUUGAAACUGCAUUUCUUGAGUGAAGUAGAGGUAAGCGGAAUUCCUGGUGUAGCGGUGAAAUGCGUAGAUAUCAGGAGGAACUCCGGUGGCGAAGGCGGCUUACUGGGCUUUUACUGACGCUGAGGCUCGAAAGCGUGGGGAGCAAACAGGAUUAGAUACCCUGGUAGUCCACGCUGUAAACGAUGAUUACUAGGUGUGGGGGGACUGACCCCUUCCGUGCCGCAGUUAACACAAUAAGUAAUCCACCUGGGGAGUACGGCCGCAAGGUUGAAACUCAAAUGAAUUGACGGGG
RNAcentral lists this ribosomal RNA (396 nucleotides) under uncultured bacterium. RNAcentral describes it as "partial 16S ribosomal RNA". It matches the Rfam family "Bacterial small subunit ribosomal RNA", at positions 523 to 918 of the family's 1533-position model. The record is from RNAcentral.